This 253-nucleotide ribosomal RNA is filed under the name uncultured bacterium. Its description in RNAcentral is "partial 16S ribosomal RNA". It matches the Rfam family "Bacterial small subunit ribosomal RNA", at positions 524 to 776 of the family's 1533-position model. The record is from RNAcentral.
UACGUAGGGGGCAAGCGUUGUCCGGAUUUAUUGGGCGUAAAGAGCGUGUAGGCGGCCAGGUAGGUCUGCUGUGAAAACUCGAGGCUCAACCUCGAGACGUCGGUGGAAACCAUCUGGCUAGAGUCCGGAAGAGGAGAGUGGAAUUCCUGGUGUAGCGGUGAAAUGCGCAGAUAUCAGGAAGAACACCCGUGGCGAAGGCGGCUCUCUGGGACGGUACUGACGCUGAGACGCGAAAGCGUGGGGAGCGAACAGG